RNAcentral lists this unclassified non-coding RNA (245 nucleotides) under Schizothecium sp. Its description in RNAcentral is "partial internal transcribed spacer region". The stretch from base 1 to 46 matches the Rfam family "Eukaryotic small subunit ribosomal RNA", at positions 1786 to 1831 of the family's 1831-position model. Lineage: Eukaryota; Fungi; Ascomycota; Sordariomycetes; Sordariales; Schizotheciaceae. The record is from RNAcentral.
AAGUCGUAACAAGGUCUCCGUUGGUGAACCAGCGGAGGGAUCAUUACAGAGUUGCAAAACUCCCAACCAUUGUGAACCUACCUCACCGUUGCUUCGGCGGGUGGCCCGGGGCAACCCGCGCCGCGCCGGCCCCUCUAGAGGGGCCCGGCAAACUCGUCAGAAGACCGAAACUCUGAACCAUUUAGGCCUCUCUGAGUAACUUAUACAAUAAGUCAAAACUUUCAACAACGGAUCUCUUGGUUCUG